CUACGGGCCGCUGCAGUGGGGAAUAUUGCACAAUGGGCGCAAGCCUGAUGCAGCCAUGCCGCGUGUAUGAAGAAGGCCUUCGGGUUGUAAAGUACUUUCAGCGGGGAGGAAGGGAGUAAAGUUAAUACCUUUGCUCAUUGACGUUACCCGCAGAAGAAGCACCGGCUAACUCCGUGCCAGCAGCCGCGGUAAUACGGAGGGUGCAAGCGUUAAUCGGAAUUACUGGGCGUAAAGCGCACGCAGGCGGGUUGUUAAGUCAGAUGUGAAAUCCCCGGGCUCAACCUGGGAACUGCAUCUGAUACUGGCAAGCUUGAGUGUCGUAGAGGGUGGUAGAAUUCCAGGUGUAGCGGUGAAAUGCGUAGAGAUCUGGAGGAAUACCGGUGGCGAAGGCGGCCCCCUGGACGAAGACUGACGCUCAGGUGCGAAAGCGUGGGGAGCAAACAGGAUUAGAUACCCUAGUAGUC
This 464-nucleotide ribosomal RNA is filed under the name uncultured bacterium. Its description in RNAcentral is "partial 16S ribosomal RNA". It matches the Rfam family "Bacterial small subunit ribosomal RNA", at positions 339 to 795 of the family's 1533-position model. The record is from RNAcentral.